This 21-nucleotide non-coding RNA is filed under the name Arabidopsis thaliana (thale cress). The record is from RNAcentral. Lineage: Eukaryota; Viridiplantae; Streptophyta; Magnoliopsida; Brassicales; Brassicaceae.
AUACUCAUCAUUCUCGGGUAC